Molecule: small nuclear RNA, 111 nt
Organism: Callithrix jacchus (white-tufted-ear marmoset)
Lineage: Eukaryota; Metazoa; Chordata; Mammalia; Primates; Cebidae
Source: Ensembl
GUGCUCGCUUCAGCAGCACAUAUACUAAAAUUGGAACAAUAUAGAGAAGAUUAAUCAGCAUGGCCCCUGCUCAAGGAUGACAUGCAAAUUCAUGAGGCAUUCUAUAAAAAA